GUUAAUUGGUAUAUAUUGUAUUUAAUUGAUAAGGCUAAGAUAAUAAAGAUGGGUGUUUUCUUCGUUCUUUUCUCUAGCGGAAUUGGCCGCCAGUGAAGGUCUGCCCAAAGGACCAGCCAGCUGGGGCAACAUUGUUGGAGACCACGGUACGGCCAUCACUAGUUGUGACCUUAAAUGACAGGCUUUGCCCGUUGAGGUAGUUGUUGCUUUGCCAGUUCUGGCCCCAGUUCCUGGACAUGGGUUGCCAACCAGUCCUGGAACCCUUGAUGGCCAC
RNAcentral lists this long non-coding RNA (274 nucleotides) under Gossypium barbadense (sea-island cotton). RNAcentral's name for it is "long non-coding RNA (GBAR_LNC022263)". Lineage: Eukaryota; Viridiplantae; Streptophyta; Magnoliopsida; Malvales; Malvaceae. The record is from RNAcentral.